GCGCAGCCAAUCAGCGGCCGGGGUUUGGCCCCCCAGGAAAAUGGCGGCGGCGGGAGCGGCCCCCAAGCUCCGGGUUUGCUUUAUGGACUUAUUUUAGUAACUCCGUCCUUAUCCAGCCCUUCAAAGCACCUUCUCACGGAGAACAGAACCCUGUCAGUUCUGGGAUUCUGUGAUCCUGUGAUGUUAGCAGUUCACACACCAGAAAAUCUCCAGGGACCUUCUGGCUGAGCAUUGUAUACAAACAGCCAUAAAUUACUGCAUUUACAUUUACAUCACUACGCUAUUACAUGAAGGCUCAGAUCAGGAGCAGCACCUUCUGUUUUCCUCUAUUUAUUUUUUUUUCCUGUGUGCUCAUUCCUGUUUUAAAGUCCCCCCCCCUAUUUACCUGCAGCACAGUCUAGACAGCUAAUGGAAUAAUAAGAGCCCAGCGGGUUUUUACAAGAACAUGGACAAAAAGAGCAUCAGAAAUAAAUAUAUGAGUAAGAAUUGGAAGGUCAAUGGCUGGGUACUGAGUGUGCCACAGGCAAGGGUGUCCCGGGAUUAUGAGGUAAUUCCCUGUCGAGCAUCCUGACCAAAACAAUCAGGCAUUGCUGGAUUCCUGUCACCCUCCACACAAGGCAUGAAAAAGCAACGGAGGAAUAAUCCUCUGGAAAACCCAGUUCUCGCAUUCCCCCUUCUCACAGCGGAGAGAAACAGGGACUAAUCGUCCCUGGUGCCGCUGCCUGUUCCUUUCCCUGCUGGUUGCUCAUCAGCCCCCUGGUUGCCCAUCAGUUUUUCCAGCCCGUGGAGGGUGUUGUCGCGUGGUCCUUCCUCCCGUCUUAUUCCCGGCUGUUGUUUCUGGAGCUGCCGGCACUACUGCUUGGCACGGCUCCCCCGGUGACUCCGAGCUGGUGGCAGGCAGGGCUCAGCCCUGCCCAGCGCUUUCCCAGGAAGGCCUGGCUUCCUCUCAGAGGAAAACCAGCUCAGCCCCCGGAGCGUGUCUGCCCGUCCAUCGGGGAGAAAAUAAAAAGUGAUUCAGCUGAUUUUUAUCUCCCCGCCGACGCCCCCGGUGAAGCAGCGGAGCUGGUGUGGUUUGAUUUGAAACACGGUCCUUGCUUACAGCAGGGAUUUUAUUUGAAUGUUGAUUGUUUGUCAUUCCCUUCUAUGUGUACGGCUGGGUAAAAAGCCCUUUUGUUUUGAAGCGUCCUGUGAACUGCAGCAGGAAGCUCAGGAACUCCUGGUGGACUGAAUGAAACACAGUCAAUGAUAAUAAAAUUAUAGAAGGUUGGAGCCAGGAGGAAACUAAGUAGAUGGUGUAGUUGGACUCCCACACUAAACCUGGACUUGGAUGUUUGCUGGCGUGUUCUUAAACCUCCAGGUUUAACACCUCCAGGGAGCUUCCAUAACAUUGUGAGAUGGAUCUUCUGAAUGUUCCACCUUUGUGACACUGAGAAGCUCUUGACUUACUUGGCAAAAUUGAGCAUGGAAGAAAUUUAAAUUGCUCUGAAGUGCCCUCCUCUAACUGAAAUAGGUUAGAACUAAACAUGUGUUGUUAGAACAGGAAGAUAUUUGGAAUUUGGAGUGACUUAGGGUUUUCUUUUCUGAGAUGUUUUCUGGUUUAUUUGGGAACUUUAAAUUGAUGACUUUAAUGGUGGAACGGGUGUAUUGGUUUUAUACUACAUUUAUACUACAUUCCUGGAGGAUAACUGAGGAUCAGGAAUCGAGUACAUCGUGAAAACAGUCAGGCAAUAGCAUGUGAUGGAAUCCUGGGUGACAACAUUACUCCUUACACAUUUCAGAAGUGGAUCCAGAGGGAGAAUUCAGGCCCAAAAUAAAGUCUUCCUUACCUGAGCUGAACAUUUUUCCCUCUCAGUUGAAAGUUAUUGUAUCAAAUUCAGUUGAGAUGCCAUGGAUAAGCCAUGAGUGGCUGGGAGAGGAAAUCCCAGUUUAUCUGACUCACCAUUUUUGUGCAAAUAUUAACUUUGGCUGGUACACAUUUCUCCUGAUAUCUCUUUUCCAGAUCUGAGUCUCAGAGUACAUUGUCUUGGCUAUAUUGAACUGUAGCCUUUGGUUACUUGAAUAACUUUCAUUUUUAACAGUUUUAUCUAUUUAUUGUAUCUGAAAGGUAAAGAAAAUGCAAUUUUCCCCAUGACUCUGCUUCUGGUGAUGCAGUAUUAAAUUCUGCACCAGUGGAAAACUUAGAUUUAAUGGUGGCAAAAAGCACAAUGCAGAGGAUUUAGUUUUCUUUGCUAAAAGUGGUGGAAAACCCUCGAAGAUGGCAAUCCCAACUUCCCAGGAUCUACCUGCACUUUUAUCCCCCACACUCUCACUGGUUUAUUUUGUCCUUGGAAGAAAAAACAUUGGUGGACGCUGGAGUUGACCUUUAAUUUUGAAAAAUGUUCAUAUUCUCUGUCAAAACACUCUUCGUGGUUGCUCCCACCAACCAGAUUGUUGUUUCUAUUCAGAAUUAUCACAGGUGAUGAAGAGAGAGGAAGUUAAUUCAAUUAAUUCAAUUAAAUUGAUUCAGAUGUCCAUGUGUUGCUUGUGCUUCGUUCAUACAAACCAGGGGGGUCAACAUAGAGGAAAAGAGGAAUGCAGAGCUGGAAUCCACACUCACAGCUGUGGCUUGGGGAUGCUCAAAAUAGCCAAUAUGUUCUUCCCCUGUUCUGUAAUUCCUUUACAGAAUGGGUAAAAUAAACUGUUGAUAAGGAACUGUUGCUCCGAGCCAGGCUGGAAAGGAACUGGGAAAGGCUCCAUGAGCAGCAUUAAGUGAGCAAGGCAGAAUUUCCAGGGCAUCAUCUGGUAGCUCUGCCUUGUUUUGCUGCUUUGCUUAACAUUGCCAUGUUUUGUUUUGUUUAAUUUUGGGUCCUUAUUUCAUCUUAUUUUUUGACUUCUGGACUGUUGCAACUUCCCCAAGUAAGUCCCUUUGCACUUAUCUUAUCUGGGCUUCCUAAUUUCCACUAUUAGGUGAUGUCUGACACCUUCUUUGCUCAGAGCUGGCUGUCUGGACACAAACCCUGAGGUCUUGGACACUCAACUUCCUCUUCACUUUCUGGUCUCCAGCAUCUCAGAAAAGCCAAGAGAUCUGCCCUGGGCCGAGGUGCUGGAUUAAACCUGGGAUUAAAGCCUGAGAUUGCUCAACAGUAGCUUUGAUACACCCAGAGCUGGUCCCAUCCACAGCCUGGGGCUUGGAACUGCAUUCCAAUGGGUAUCCCUAAUUCCCCCAGUGCAGAGAACAAUCCUGUGCAGUCAGUCUGCUUCCUUUGCACUGUGACUGCUGGCUGAUGACCAGUGUUCACCAACCCCACGGACUCACUUGCAAGUGUGAUGCUCGGCUAAAUAAAAUUGUUUCCAAGAAGGCCAUCAUCAUUAAUCUUUAAUUAAUGCCUGGUGUUCAGUGGAAGAUAUGAUUGCCCAUGGCUGGAAUUGCGGUGGGAAUAAGGCAGGUGCCUCAGACUGGGCUGGAAUAGCCUGUGGUGCAGAGGAGAGCUGGGCUGCCCCCAUUCCAUCCCUGCCAAGUGAUCCAAGUGGCUCAGCAGUGGCAGAAUUUGGCAGGUUUCCCUGCCCCAAGGAGUUUGCAAUUUGAAGGAGUGCUGCUUUCUUCAUCCUGCUCUUAGAGCUGUUCCCAUGUCGGUCAGUGGGAUGAAUUCCCAUCUUCCUUUUGUUGACGUGUAAAUGGAGUUUGUCAGGACUUUGCCCAACCUGCACGAGGAAAGUUUCCUUUGACAGAGCCUGCCAGGUCACAGGGGUGUGCUCAGGGCUCUGCUCUCCCACCUUUCACCCCUGGAAUGUGCUGCAAGGAUAGUUUGGGGGGCUGAGUUGGAGAGAAAAGGGGGCCUGACAAAGGCCAGCACUAAAAUCAUAAGGCACAAAGAGCUGCUGUGAGUCCUUGCUGGUGGAUUUAUGUUUGAUUUGAAGAAGCACCUGGUAUGGGAGUAACAAAUCCCAGGUUCCUCACUGAGUCUUGCAGAGGGAACAAUUAAAAUAUAAUUUGUUUAUUAUGAGAAGGACAAUUAAGAAUGAAUUGAUGGAUGA
Molecule: long non-coding RNA, 4014 nt
Organism: Lepidothrix coronata (blue-crowned manakin)
Lineage: Eukaryota; Metazoa; Chordata; Aves; Passeriformes; Pipridae
Exons: 3
Source: RefSeq, a predicted model, not a curated record